This 200-nucleotide ribosomal RNA is filed under the name uncultured bacterium. RNAcentral describes it as "partial 16S ribosomal RNA". It matches the Rfam family "Bacterial small subunit ribosomal RNA", at positions 30 to 229 of the family's 1533-position model. The record is from RNAcentral.
AUUGAACGCUGGCGGAAUGCUUUACACAUGCAAGUCGAACGGCAGCACGGGGGCAACCCUGGUGGCGAGUGGCGAACGGGUGAGUAAUACAUCGGAACGUGCCCAUGUCGUGGGGGAUAACGUAGCGAAAGCUACGCUAAUACCGCAUACGAUCUACGGAUGAAAGCGGGGGAUCGCAAGACCUCGCGCGAUUGGAGCGG